UUGGAAUGUGUGAAGAGACGGAGGAGGAAUCAUUUUCGGACUAACAACAAGUGUGCACUACACUGAACUGCAGAAGUUGAAGGAUUUGUUAGGACCAUCCGAAGCUCUAGCGAUGAUCAGGCCAAAUAUGCGACCCUGUCCUACUGUUCCCUGCCAAGGUUGCAUGAAAAAAAUAGGAGUCAACAUGAAAAGAAAGGAACACAGUAAGUCAUGCCAGUAAAGAUGCAAUUUUUCUAAAAAUCACUACCUGAUCCUUGAAUUCUUGGAAUUUGUUUAUUCUUGCACGGAGUGAAGAAUGCCUCAUAGUGUGGAAUAUUUUGGAAGACCAUGUGCAAAGAAGGUACAGAUUAUUCUUAUUUUUUGGCAUGUUGAAAUAGAUAAAAACAUUUGUGAGAGGAUUCACGGAAAAAAAAGGUUAAAAAAGUUUUGAUUGGUAGGUUUUUUU
Bemisia tabaci is the source of this 445-nucleotide non-coding RNA. Lineage: Eukaryota; Metazoa; Arthropoda; Insecta; Hemiptera; Aleyrodidae. The record is from RefSeq and is a predicted model, not a curated record.